UACGUAGGGUGCAAGCGUUAAUCGGAAUUACUGGGCGUAAAGCGUGCGCAGGCGGUUAUGCAAGACAGAUGUGAAAUCCCCGGGCUUAACCUGGGAACCGCAUUUGUGACUGCAUAGCUGGAGUACGGCAGAGGGGGAUGGAAUUCCGCGUGUAGCAGUGAAAUGCGUAGAUAUGCGGAGGAACACCGAUGGCGAAGGCAGCCCCCUGGGCUAACACUGACGCUCAUGCACGAAAGCGUGGGGAGCAAACAGG
Molecule: ribosomal RNA, 253 nt
Filed under: uncultured bacterium
Lineage: Bacteria
Description: partial 16S ribosomal RNA
Rfam family: Bacterial small subunit ribosomal RNA
Source: RNAcentral